Drosophila sechellia is the source of this 698-nucleotide long non-coding RNA. RefSeq lists it as uncharacterized. The record is from RefSeq and is a predicted model, not a curated record. The transcript has 5 exons. Lineage: Eukaryota; Metazoa; Arthropoda; Insecta; Diptera; Drosophilidae.
GUUAUCGUCUGCUACUUUGUUUGUCCGGUUAGGAGAGAAUUCGUCGAUGAUGCAGGACAGGGGAGAAAUAUACAAUUUGAGGACAAGUUUUGCAGCGUAAGGGUGUGGCAUCUGCGCCACGCAAAUGAUCUUUAUUAAAGCAUUGGCGUCAGGAGGUGGAGACGGUAUCAUAAAAUUGUCAGAUUUUUGUAUCUAUAAUCGCAAAUGUUGGCGAUUUUGUUUUGCUUUGACGGGGCCCGUCUCCUGGUUUGCGUGCGCGUCAUCGGCAGGAUGAGGUCGUAUUUUUGUGUCUGCUGGUUUGCCUGUCAGAUUCUCAGGAAUUCAUUGGAAAAAAAAACGGAAUUGUGGAAAUUAUACAAUUUGGAGACGGAUUUUAAUUCUUUUUAAUUUGAUGUCAGCUCCGGGAUAAUGAUCCUUGUUAGUGCAGUGGCAUCAGGAGGUGGAGACGGCGUUGGCUCGUCUUCUCUUGUUGGUUGCUUUGGAUCACCAGUUGGCUGUGUUUAUUGAGGUUUAGCGUCUCUAAUGUAGGCGCUCGUCGAUCUGAGAGAAUUUAAGAGUAGUGGAAAGGAUAGAUUUUGCAGCUCCGCGCUGAGAGCCCUGAACGAAGCGUAGGCAGCUUAUAUGGCCCGUCUAUUGCAGUGCAGCACUGCAAGUGGAUUGCAUCGGAGAUAAGGGAUACUUUUUUUAACAUUUCAGGU